UUGACCUCAAAUCAGGUAGGACUACCCGCUGAACUUAAGCAUAUCAAUAAGCGGAGGAAAAGAAACUAACAAGGAUUCCCCUAGUAACUGCGAGUGAAGCGGGAAAAGCUCAAAUUUGAAAUCUGGCGGUUCCUUGG
This 137-nucleotide ribosomal RNA is filed under the name Inocybe lacera var. lacera. RNAcentral describes it as "partial 28S ribosomal RNA". It matches the Rfam family "Eukaryotic large subunit ribosomal RNA", at positions 1 to 136 of the family's 3401-position model. The record is from RNAcentral. Lineage: Eukaryota; Fungi; Basidiomycota; Agaricomycetes; Agaricales; Inocybaceae.